Molecule: ribosomal RNA, 507 nt
Filed under: uncultured bacterium
Lineage: Bacteria
Description: partial 16S ribosomal RNA
Rfam family: Bacterial small subunit ribosomal RNA
Source: RNAcentral
GACGAACGCUGGCGGCGUGCUUAACACAUGCAAGUCGAACGGGCCUUGUCCCCUUUUUUUUGGGGGUGGGGUUAGUGGCGAACGGGUGAGUAACACGUGAGUAACCUGCCCCUCACUUCUGGAUAACCGCUUGAAAGGGUGGCUAAUACGGGGUGUUCUGGCCUGCUCGCAUGGGUGGGUUUGGAAAGAUUCGACCGGUUUUGGUUGUUUUGGUGGGGGAUGGGCUCGCGGCCUAUCAGCUUGUUGGUGGGGUGAUGGCCUGCCACGGCUUUGACGGGUAGCCGGCCUGAGAGGGUGGGCGGUCACACUGAGAAUGAGACACGGCCCAGACUCCUACGGGAGGCAGCAGUGGGGAAGAUUGCACAAUGGGCGCAAGCCUGAUGCAGCGACGCCGCGUGAGUGAUGGAGGCCUUCGGGUUGUGAACCUCUUUCGCCAGUGAAGAAGGUCCUGCUCUGUGUGGUGGGGUUGACGGUAGCUGGGUUAAUGAAGCGCCGGCUAACUACGUG